AGCUCCAAUAGCGUAUAUUAUUGAUGUUGCAGUUGAAACGUUCGUAGUCGAACUUUAUCUGCUUAGGUGUUGUUUAUCUAAGAUAAUCAAUACUCUUCAGUAGAGAUUGUGCAAUUGUUAUUGUGUUUCACAGUGGCUUUUGCAUCUUACUUUGAGUGAAUCGGCGUGUUCCACGCAGGCAUGUGCCUUGAACGAUUUACCAUAGCAUAAUCAGAGUAUGAGAAUACUCCUUUGUUGGUUCGGGGGUAUUUUCGAUACUGAUAAGAACGGUUGAGGGCAUUCGUAUUCAACUGCCAGAGGUGAAAUUCUUUGAUUAGUUGAGGACGAACUAUUGCGAAAGCAUCUGCCAAGGACGUUUCUU
This 361-nucleotide ribosomal RNA is filed under the name uncultured eukaryote. RNAcentral's name for it is "SSU rRNA". It matches the Rfam family "Eukaryotic small subunit ribosomal RNA", at positions 587 to 972 of the family's 1831-position model. The record is from RNAcentral.